RNAcentral lists this ribosomal RNA (547 nucleotides) under uncultured Alphaproteobacteria bacterium. RNAcentral describes it as "partial 16S ribosomal RNA". It matches the Rfam family "Bacterial small subunit ribosomal RNA", at positions 1 to 887 of the family's 1533-position model. Lineage: Bacteria; Pseudomonadati; Pseudomonadota; Alphaproteobacteria. The record is from RNAcentral.
CGGCCGCGGGAAUUCGAUUAGAGUUUGAUCAUGGCUCAGAGCGAACGCUGGCGGCAGGCAUAACACAUGCAAGUUGAGCGGGCGUAGCAAUACGUCAGUGGAAGACGGGUGAGUAACGCGUGGGAACGUACCUUUUGGUUCGGAACAACCCAGGGAAACUUGGGCUAAUACCGGAUAAGCCCUUACGGGGAAAGAUUUAUCGCCAGAAGAUCGGCCCGCGUCUGAUUAGCUAGUUGGUGAGGUAAUGGCUCACCAAGGCGACGAUCGGUAGGUGGUCUGAGAGGACGAUCACCCAGACUGGGACUGAGACACGGCCCAGACUCCUACGGGAGGCAGCAGUCGGGAAUUUUGCUCAAUGGGCGAAAGCCUGAAGCAGCAACGCCGCGUGAGGGAUGAAGGCCUUCGGGUCGUAAACCUCUUUUGCCGGGGACGAUAAUGACGGUACCCGGUGAAUAAGCCACGGCUAACUACGUGCCAGCAGCCGCGGUAAUACGAAUCACUAGUGAAUUCGCGGCCGCCUGCAGGUCGACCAUAUGGGAGAGCUCCC